Molecule: long non-coding RNA, 240 nt
Organism: Limulus polyphemus (Atlantic horseshoe crab)
Lineage: Eukaryota; Metazoa; Arthropoda; Merostomata; Xiphosura; Limulidae
Exons: 3
Source: RefSeq, a predicted model, not a curated record
ACGUGGGGCUCUCUAACGACGAGUACAAUGUGAAUUUGAGUACAAUAUUCAUUUCUAAGACUAAAACGAGAGCGAUAAGCUUUAAUUUGCCGUUGGUUACGUAAACAACUUUCUGUUCUAUAUCAUAAGAUGCAAAUCAUCUCUAUUGGCUCACAAGAUACUCGUGAUGGAAGAGGUAAAAAGAUGUCCCGAAAAGUGACCUUUGAAGUGAUGAAACUGGUUGAAAAGAUUAAUAAAGAG